Molecule: long non-coding RNA, 2542 nt
Filed under: Brassica rapa (field mustard)
Lineage: Eukaryota; Viridiplantae; Streptophyta; Magnoliopsida; Brassicales; Brassicaceae
Description: long non-coding RNA (BRAP_LNC002142)
Source: RNAcentral
AUUGUAGGGGACUCUGUUUCUUCAGAGAGAGAGAGAGGGGGAAAGAAUGGUCUUGUGAGGAGGUUUAGUAAAAAGAUGUUGGAUUUGAAGAGGGCUUCACUGAUCUAUUACCAUAAGUAUGUCAAUAGGGUUAUUAAGCUUGUCUAGUUUAUGGUUGUUACCAUGUUCAUGUGGGGAUUCCUCUUCCUCUCUGUCUACUUCAUUCCGGGUUCUCAGGAUUAAACUUACCUAGUGAUUACACAACAACAACACCCUUUUUAGUUUAUUAGAAAAGCUUCUCCUGUUCUAGCAUCUUCAAGGAUUUUGAUUUAAACAGUUUCUAUUAGUCUACCUUAGUCUUAUUCUGCUUCCUUCCCGUUUGUCGUUUCACCUGGAAACAACUUUUGAGUUUCCCUGUCUUCUUCUCUGUCUAUUUGGAGUUUGGUUUUAGGCUCUAGUCUUUGGUUUUUGGAUAUGGCAGGGCUUGAAUCCAAGCUUCCUGUUGUUCCUGGAGUGAAAAAUCAUGUCUUGGAGGCAUGUCACCAUGUCGUUAAGGCGCUGAGGGCAUCUGAUAACAACCUAGAUCCCAACUUGACAAAGCUUCUAAGUGACCUAGAGUCUCAUCUGUCAACACUUGAGAUCGUUGAUACCAAAGUUGUUGAAGAAGAUACAAGAUUCUCCGAGAUCAAGAAGAGAUUCAAAAAAGCUAAGAAGAUUAUCCUUGCCUGGGAACAAAACCAGUCCAUGAUAUUUGAAGCUGGUGUCUCUAUAGCUGAUCAGUUCUUCCAAGCCCUCCACGAUGUUCAAACACUUCUUUUGGGUUUCACAGCUUUGCCCAUCAGAACCAACAAGAAGGAGAAAGAUGUUUACAACCAAGCCGCGGUUGUUCUUGACAUCGCGAUGUUUAGGCUUGAGAAAGAGCUCUGCGAUGUCCUGAAUCAGUACAAACAGCAUGUACAGCCUCAGUACUUGUCUGUCAGUUCCCGUGGUAAAGAUAUCAUUUACGAUGAGUCCUUUGUCUCCCUAGAUGAUGUUGUCGUUGAAGCUACUGAUGACCAACAGAUACUGGGAUCCAAUAAUGUCGUUUUACUCGAUCCCCUCGUCAUUCCUCACAUCAAAGCUAUUGCAAAGGCGAUGUUUGCUUGCGACUAUGGUCAAGCAUUCCGCGAAGCUUUCAUCACCGUCAGAAGAGACGCUCUCGAUGAGUACAUGUCCACCACUCUCGAAAUGGAGAGAUACAGCUGCGUGGACGUUCUUGGAAUGCAGUGGGAGGACUUGAACUGUGAGAUGAGAAAAUGGACGAAGGUGUUAAAGAUCGUGACUCAGGUCUACCUCGCCAGCGAAAAACAGCUCUGCGACAAGAUCUUGGGAGACUUUGAGCCGAGUUCCGCCGCUUGCUUCGUCGAGAUCUCCAAAGAUACAGUACUAUCUCUCCUCGCCUUUGGCGAAGCUGUGUCCCUCAGAUCAUGCCAGCCAGAAAUGCUUGAACGCUUCCUCGGCAUGUACGAAGUCUCAGCAGAGCUUCUCUUGGACGUUGAUAACCUCUUCGGUGAUGAAACGGGGUCGUUUCUAAGAAUGGCUUUCCACGAGCUGGCGAAGACGCUAGCUGAUCGUACGGUUGCGACGUUCUUGAAGUUCAAAAACGCAAUAGCCUCUGAUGAAUCCACACGCGCCUUCUCUGGCGGCGGAAUACAUCACCUGACCAGGUAUGUAAUGAACUACUUGAAGCUUCUACCUGAGUACAAGGAUGCACUAAACACACUCCUCGAGAACAUACAAGUCGAUGACUCGAUCCCCGAGAAGACAGGACAAGACAUCCUCCCUUCCACGUUCUCUCCCAUGGCGAGACACCUCAGAUCAAUCGUCACAGCUCUAGAAUCCACCCUCGAACGCAAAGCUCAGCUCUACGCAGGGGAACCGCUCAAGUACAUCUUCCUGAUGAACAAUUGUCAUUACAUGGUCCAGAAGGUAAAAACGUCAGAGCUGAGACACUUCUUCGGAGACGAGUGGAUCAGGAAACACAUCGCGAGCUACCAACACAACGUCACAAACUACGAGAGAGCCACGUGGAGCUCUGUCCUAUCUCUGCUUAAAGAGAACAACAAAGACUCUGUUUCCACCUUGAGAGAAAGAUGCAGACUCUUCUGUGUUGCGUUCGACGAUGUUUACAAGAACCAGACACGCUGGUCGGUCCCUGAUCCCGAGCUGAGGGAUGAUCUUCACAUCUCGACCUCUGUCAAAGUUGUUCAGUCCUACAGAGGGUUUCUUGCAAGAAACGCAACUAAAAUAGGUGAGAAACACGUGAGAUACACUUGUGAAGAUAUUGAGAGUUUGCUUCUUGAUCUCUUUGAGUGUUUGCCUUCUCCAAGAUCAUUGCGCACCUCUCGUAGGAGAUGACGAUGAUGAUGACGUAUGACUCGAGCCUUUUAUUGACUCGAUCUUUUGUAUUUUUUUUCGUAUUCAGUGAUUUUGUGUAACAUGUUGUAAACUUGUAAUAUAUACUCUUGUCUCUUGGGGAUGGAUGUAAUUUGAUUUGCAAUAAUUGAAAAGUAAUCGUUUUUAA